Molecule: ribosomal RNA, 274 nt
Filed under: uncultured bacterium
Lineage: Bacteria
Description: partial 16S ribosomal RNA
Rfam family: Archaeal small subunit ribosomal RNA
Source: RNAcentral
AAACCAGCACCUCAAGUGGUCAGGAGGAUUAUUGGGCCUAAAGCAUCCGUAGCCUGCUUUGUAAGUUUUCGGUUAAAUCCAUAUGCUCAACAUAUGGGCUGCCGGGAAUACUGCAUAGCUAGGGAGUGGGAGAGGUAGACGGUACUCGGUAGGAAGGGGUAAAAUCCUUUGACCUAUCGAUGACCACCUGUGGCGAAGGCGGUCUACCAGAACACGUUCGACGGUGAGGGAUGAAAGCUGGGGGAGCAAACCGAAUUAGAAACCCGGGUAGUCC